This 255-nucleotide ribosomal RNA is filed under the name uncultured bacterium. Its description in RNAcentral is "partial 16S ribosomal RNA". It matches the Rfam family "Bacterial small subunit ribosomal RNA", at positions 524 to 776 of the family's 1533-position model. The record is from RNAcentral.
UACAGAGGGUGCGAGCGUUGUCCGGAAUCACUGGGCGUAAAGGGCGCGUAGGUGGUGGCUUAAGCGUGCGGUGAAAGCUCGGGGCUCAACCCCGAGUCGGCCGUGCGAACUGGGCUCACUGGAGCAUAGUAGAGGCAGGUGGAAUUCCGGGUGUAGCGGUGGAAUGCGUAGAGAUCCGGAAGAACACCGGUGGCGAAGGCGGCCUGCUGGGCUGAUGGCUGACACUGAGGCGCGACAGCGUGGGGAGCAAACAGG